GAAUCCCAGGGGCUGUUGGAGUUGUGGUGGAUCACACAGCACAUGGGCUGUGCUUCUUUCUGUCCCAGAGCAGGUCUCUGAUGGGGCAGCUGGAAGGGUGGGUCGUGGGCCUGGACCAGGGCUUUCUGGUACCUGCUUGGUGCCAAGGCCACUUCUUCGCCUGACAUGAGGCAUCUGUCAGCCAAGGACUCCCAAGGACAUGGCUGAGCCACUCAGAAACACAGCCACUCCCGAGGGUGAAGAGAGCACUUUGGAAGCCAUGUCACCUCCAUGACCAAGACUGGAAGCCAUCUUGCCUUCAGUAACUACGUGGGGACAAUGGGAGCCCAGGACUGGCCCAGGGCCCCCUGGCAAGUCAGUAACUAACUCAGUCGUGACCAUGAAGAAAGAUGUAGUAGCCUGCCCAGAGCGUUCAGCAUGGACCCUUCCCAUCUCUGGUUGGUUGUAAACUGGAUUUGCACCCGGGCAGUGCCUUCUUCUGCCUGGUCUGGAUAUGGAAGAGAGAUAGCAACUGUGCCAAAGAGGAAGGGCGAGUUCAAAGGGCUUCAGAAGCAUCGGACAAUCACUCAGACAGACAGAGGUCAGCUGAGGAAGAUACAGCCCAGGGAAUUUCAUGCCGAUGGUUCAACUUCCCUGUUCCUCCGCAAGUGUCUUCCCACCCCCAUGGCCGCUGUGCUUUGUAGGAUCAAUGGAGAUGUUGCCAAGUUAAUGAGAAGUGCUGGGGCCCCUGACUCUGCCCUGGGCAGUGCCCAGGUGGCCCCAGAAGUCAUCACAGCCAAGUACCUGCACUCCGAGGCCGUUUUGCUGGGGCCGAGUUCUGCUCGCUGUAAAGAUGAGUUCCCAUCAGUCCAAAAUAUAUUAACUCAUCCUGCAAGUAUUUACUGGGUCCUCACUGUGCCAAGUACUAUUCUAGAAUCUGGGGAUGGAUUGCAGUGA
This is a long non-coding RNA of Bos indicus x Bos taurus (hybrid cattle), 936 nucleotides long. The record is from Ensembl. Lineage: Eukaryota; Metazoa; Chordata; Mammalia; Artiodactyla; Bovidae.